GUCUCUUUGUACUAAUAAAAUAAAGAGUCCGGCCUGCUCAAUGAUGAUUUAUCAUUAAAUAGCUGCGGAAUCCUAACCGUGUGAAAGUAGCAUAAUCAUUUGCCUCUUAAUUGGUGGCUGGAAUGAAUGGUACGAUGAAAAUAGAGCUGUCUCUAGUGUGUUUUUUUGAAAUUACCUUUUAGGUGAAAAGGCCUAAAUGUAUCUAUAAGACAAGAAGACCCUAUCGAGCUUUAAGUUAGUUGUAUAAAUAAUUUAAUUGACUUUUGGUUGGGGCAACCAGGGGGCAUAAGAAAUCCCUCUUUUUAAUAAAUUACUAACUAGUAAAGAUCCAGUUAUAUUGAUCAGGGGA
This 349-nucleotide ribosomal RNA is filed under the name Patella ulyssiponensis. Its description in RNAcentral is "partial 16S ribosomal RNA". It matches the Rfam family "Archaeal large subunit ribosomal RNA", at positions 1911 to 2426 of the family's 2987-position model. The record is from RNAcentral. Lineage: Eukaryota; Metazoa; Mollusca; Gastropoda; Patellidae.